CUACGGGGGGCAGCAGUGGGGAAUAUUGCACAAUGGGCGCAAGCCUGAUGCAGCCAUGCCGCGUGUAUGAAGAAGGCCUUCGGGUUGUAAAGUACUUUCAGCGGGGAGGAAGGGAGUAAAGUUAAUACCUUUGCUCAUUGACGUUACCCGCAGAAGAAGCACCGGCUAACUCCGUGCCAGCAGCCGCGGUAAUACGGAGGGUGCAAGCGUUAAUCGGAAUUACUGGGCGUAAAGCGCACGCAGGCGGUUUGUUAAGUCAGAGGUGAAAUCCCCGGGCUCAACCUGGGAACUGCAUCUGAUACUGGCACGCUUGAGUCUCGUAGAGGGGGUAGAAUUCCAGGUGUAGCGGUGAAAUGCGUAGAGAUCUGGAGGAAUACCGGUGGCGAAGGCGGCCCCCUGGACGAAGACUGACGCUCAGGUGCGAAAGCGUGGGGAGCAAACAGGAUUAGAUACCCUCGUAGUC
Molecule: ribosomal RNA, 463 nt
Filed under: uncultured bacterium
Lineage: Bacteria
Description: partial 16S ribosomal RNA
Rfam family: Bacterial small subunit ribosomal RNA
Source: RNAcentral